GACCGCGGGAGAGACCGCCGCAGGCGGCGCCGAAGGGGAUGCAGAAACUCUCAGGCAAAAGGACCGGGCC
Molecule: non-coding RNA, 70 nt
Filed under: uncultured Gemmiger sp.
Lineage: Bacteria; Bacillati; Bacillota; Clostridia; Eubacteriales; Oscillospiraceae
Description: Glycine riboswitch
Rfam family: Glycine riboswitch aptamer (bases 6-66)
About the family: This family represents the bacterial glycine riboswitch. Glycine riboswitches usually consist of two metabolite-binding aptamers domains with similar structures in tandem.
Source: RNAcentral